AUUAAGCAAAAAUGAAAAUUCAAAAGGGAGGGUAAGGUGUAAAAUUGCUUUGAAAGGCAGUCAUCAACAUUCUAAAAAAAAAUCAAAAAGGCAAUAUAGAAAAAUUUGGAAAAAUCAAAGGAGGCAAGAAAUCCUGCUAUCCCUUUAAUUGAGUUUUGUUUCCAUGGAAUUUCCAAUUUCUGAAAGCAAUUAGAAUUUCAUUAACGAGAGAGAUGGCUUAAAUGGUUUCCUUUGAAGUUUGAGUGCUAGUGCUGAUCAAGGAUACUGUUACAUUGGGUUUGACUUAAUUUUAUUAGAUUUUUUCUUCUCUUCUAGUUAUUGGGGUGUUCUGGAUCUUGAUGGUUUAUAACUAAGCAGUUUUGGAUGAAUUGAAUUAGGUUUUGGUUUAUGUUUGAUGUUUGCUGGUGUUACUGGAUGCUAUUUGAGUUCAUUUGGCUUGCUUUGGUGCUGUUUUUUGGGCAAUUUCUCCCCUAUUUUUGGAUAUCUGGGCUAUUGGACUGUUUUCUGGAUUGAAAAUUACUGUUGUUGUUUUAUUACCUCUGCUGCCUGCUGCUGGUACCUGUGUCGUGCUGCUGACCUUUUCUACUCCAUUUCCAUACUGUUUCCAGGUACAUGUUCGAAACUGGCAAGUGUAUUUGUAUGAAUUGAAAAGCUGGAAUGAAAUGCACUCUUAUGAAAUUCGCGUGUUCAAUUGUCAGUAGAUUGGUCGAUGUGUGUAAAUUAAAUUUGAUUUAAAUGGUGUAAUUGGACUGAAUUGGAACUAUUGAUGUAAUAAUUGGACUAUAUGUUCCUGUUAACUCAGAGAUUUAGAAAACUAGUUUCGAAUGGGUGCAUUGAUUUCAAGAUAUGUCUAUUAGUGAUUUCAGAUAGCUCUAGCAUGUUAUAGCUGAUUAUAUGGCUUCAUGGGUCCAAAAGAUUCACACAUUAAUUGCUCCAAAGUUAGCGUAAGUAUAAAUGUGAAGUGGUUAGAAUAACAAUAGCUCAUGUCUGCCAAAUUAUAUUUUUAAAUAUUGAUGGUAUCUUAGCUUGAAUCUGGUAUGAAGUCAAAUGCAAAGAAAU
Molecule: long non-coding RNA, 1059 nt
Filed under: Nicotiana benthamiana
Lineage: Eukaryota; Viridiplantae; Streptophyta; Magnoliopsida; Solanales; Solanaceae
Description: long non-coding RNA (NBEN_LNC039204)
Source: RNAcentral